UUGACCUCGGAUCAGGUAGGAAUACCCGCUGAACUUAAGCAUAUCAAAAACCCGGAGGA
Molecule: ribosomal RNA, 59 nt
Filed under: Rosellinia mearnsii
Lineage: Eukaryota; Fungi; Ascomycota; Sordariomycetes; Xylariales; Xylariaceae
Description: partial 28S ribosomal RNA
Source: RNAcentral